Carassius gibelio (silver crucian carp) is the source of this 958-nucleotide long non-coding RNA. RefSeq lists it as uncharacterized. The record is from RefSeq and is a predicted model, not a curated record. The transcript has 6 exons. Lineage: Eukaryota; Metazoa; Chordata; Actinopteri; Cypriniformes; Cyprinidae.
ACUACGACCUUCAUUGCUUUCAAUGGGAAACUUUUGGCGUCAGAAUUCGACACGAGGACAUGAGAUGUUUAUCGCUAUGAAAUCACGUUCAAGAAGUCUCAUUCAGCACACAUCGCGAUACUUGCUAUCAGUGACAGUUCCACAGUUUGGCUGAAAAGACAUAAAGGCAGUCAGCCCAGUGGUGUUUCUGGAGAGGGAUUCCUUCAGAAAUGGAGAAGACAGAAAGCUGCGGAGGCAGAUAUUUGCAGCAGUCUAAAAUAUCAAGCUCAACAACUCACUCAAGAGCCAACCCUCACAAACCUUCCUAAAAACUAAAAGAGCUAUUACUGAGUCUCAGCGAAUCUUGCCAUGAUCAGCUCUUCCCAGAAGAGAAGGAAGACCAAGGAAAUGAUUUGCUCAGGAUGAGAAAUGAAGAUGGCCAUCUUGUGCUCAAACAAACAGAAGUCCUCUGAUGAUCUCAUCAGCCAAAUGAGGGGUUUUGACCAAGUGAUGCUCUUGAAAGGAGUGAAAGAAGAGGAUGUGCUAAAUUCUCUUCAGAGAAAAAGCUUCUCAAAAGGUCUCAAAACAGCUUGAAGAAUGGUCUGGGAUGUUAGGACUGAAAGAUCCUCUGGCUGAGAGAAGCUACACCACAUCAGUGCUGGAUAUCAACCACAAACUGUUUCCAGACACGAGAGAAGAAGAACACGAUGGGGAGAUGAAACCAGUUUAGAUGUGAUGAUGGGAAUCAUUAUUUUCUGGAACAGUAUCUCAUGUCUUAUAUGUAUCACAUGAUCUGUAUCACAGUUGACUGGAUGGGACUGUGUGACUUUUAAGGACAUUUCAUCACUCAUCUGUGUGAACUGAUUUAUAUAUGAGGUUAAUGUAUUUUUGAUGAUAAUUAUUUUCAUUGAAUCUUAUUCGUCUUGAUGCUACUUUAUCAACUUUAUAGUCUAUGCUUCAAUAAAAUGAAAAUGGUGAA